This 725-nucleotide ribosomal RNA is filed under the name uncultured bacterium. RNAcentral's name for it is "bacterial SSU rRNA". It matches the Rfam family "Bacterial small subunit ribosomal RNA", at positions 102 to 807 of the family's 1533-position model. The record is from RNAcentral.
ACGGGUGAGUAACGCGUAAUCAACCUGCCCUUCAGAGGGGGACAACAGUUGGAAACGACUGCUAAUACCGCAUACGAUCUAAUCUCGGCAUCGAGGAUGGAUGAAAGGUGGCCUCUAUGUAUAAGCUAUCACUGAAGGAGGGGAUUGCGUCUGAUUAGCUAGUUGGAGGGGUAACGGCCCACCAAGGCGUCGACGGGUAGCCGGCCUGAGAGGGUGGACGGCCACAUUGGGACUGAGAUACGGCCCAGACUCCUACGGGAGGCAGCAGUGGGGAAUAUUGCACAAUGGGCGCAAGCCUGAUGCAGCGACGCCGCGUGGGGGAUGACGGCCUUCGGGUUGUAAACUCCUUUCGUUAGGGACGAAGCCACACCUUUUUUGGGUGUGGUGACGGUACCUUUGUUAAGAAGCACCGGCUAACUACGUGCCAGCAGCCGCGGUAAUACGUAGGGUGCGAGCGUUGUCCGGAAUUACUGGGCGUAAAGAGCUCGUAGGUGGUUUGUUGCGUCGUCUGUGAAAUUCCGGGGCUUAACUUCGGGGUGGCAGGCGAUACGGGCAUAACUAGAGUGCUGUAGGGGAGACUGGAAUUCCUGGUGUAGCGGUGGAAUGCGCAGAUAUCAGGAGGAACACCGAUGGCGAAAGCAGGUCUCUGGGCAGUAACUGACGCUGAGGAGCGAAAGCAUGGGGAGCGAACAGGAUUAGAUACCCUGGUAGUCCAUGCUGUAAAC